This 359-nucleotide transfer-messenger RNA is filed under the name bacterium. Its description in RNAcentral is "JACPSX01 sp016193065 Standard tmRNA". It matches the Rfam family "transfer-messenger RNA". Rfam says of the family: Bacterial tmRNA, also known as 10Sa RNA or SsrA, is named for its dual tRNA and mRNA-like properties. Its role is to liberate the mRNA from a stalled ribosome. RNAcentral also lists the same sequence under 1 other name. The record is from RNAcentral.
GGGGGCGACAUGGCUUCGACGGGGAUGCGGAAAGGCAGGGGUGGCAUGCCGAGGUCCCAUGGGCUCGUAAAACACAUGGGAAACGAUAAUCGCCAACGAUUAUCAAGUCGCUCUAGCGGCUUAAGACCCGCUAGCGUUCUUACCGUCCGGCGCCUACAGGGCGGAUAAGGGCGUCAGAUUAGCAGGCUAGCCACGGCGGCUGUGCUCAGGGGCUGCCAAGGCGAAAACUCACCGAGCUAGCCGAUUCCGGAUCCAGUUUGCGGGAGACGGGAAAGGCGAAAAUCAAAGCGCAGACUAAGCAUGUAGAGGCUUCUGACUAGUAUUUCCGGACGGGGGUUCGAUUCCCCCCGCCUCCACCA